This 253-nucleotide ribosomal RNA is filed under the name uncultured bacterium. Its description in RNAcentral is "partial 16S ribosomal RNA". It matches the Rfam family "Bacterial small subunit ribosomal RNA", at positions 524 to 776 of the family's 1533-position model. The record is from RNAcentral.
UACGUGGGGUGCAAGCGUUGUUCGGAAUUACUGGGCGUAAAGCGCGUGUAGGCGGCGCACUAAGUUCGCUGUGAAAGCCCUGGGCUCAACCCAGGAACUGCAUUGAAAACUGGUGUGCUUGAGUCCGGGAGAGGGUCGCGGAAUUCCUGGUGUAGAGGUGAAAUCCGUAAAUAUACGAAGGAACGCCAAAAGCGAAGGCAGCGCUCUGGGUCCCUACCGACGCUGGGGUGCGAAAGCAUGGGGAGCGAACAGG